Molecule: ribosomal RNA, 249 nt
Filed under: uncultured bacterium
Lineage: Bacteria
Description: partial 16S ribosomal RNA
Rfam family: Bacterial small subunit ribosomal RNA
Source: RNAcentral
UACAGGGGCUCGAGCGUUAAUCGGAAUUACUGGGCGUAAAGCGUGCGCAGGCGGUUUGUAAGACAGGCGUGAAAUCCCGGGCUUAACCUGGGAACUGCAUUUGUGACUGCAUCGCUGGAGUGCGGCAGAGGGGAUGGAAUUCCGCGUGUAGCAGUGAAAUGCGUAGAGAUGUGGAGGAACACCGAUGGCGAAGGCAGCCUCCUGGGCUAGUACUGACGCUCAUGCACGAAAGCGUGGGGAGCAAACAGG